GCCCCCAGCCCAGUAGACAAUAGGCACCAGAGGGAAGGUGAGCCCGGUGAGCAAGGCAGUGCACCGACUUGUAACGUGCAGUCCAACGUGACGGGGACCCUGCCUGUAAGAGGAGAUGUACGCAGCCUCACAGGGCCGAAGCCAACUCACAAUGAGGUGACGGGCACGGUUCGGUCCUCUUGAGCUGUCCUUGUAGGUAAUCUCUGAGUAAUAAAAGGAUCAGCAUCCAAGCACUGAGCUUUUUUGGUUGCAGGUGCCAUCCGGCUAACCUUUGGGAGCAGAUGAGCAUUGGAGGUGAGUCAGGGAGGCAGCAGGAGGAGCAGGGAUCCACUGCAGCUUCAGAAAUGCCCUCUAAUUUUGUCUCUCCCUCCCUCAGGUAUCCCGGAAGAUGACAGCCACAGCGUGUGACUCCAGUCAGAGCCAGUGACCCGAGGACCUGCCUCAGUGACAGUGAGUAGAGGGAUCUUUGGGGCUGGGGCCACGUGCCACACUACUCAGACAUUGUGUAUGGUUUUCUUUCUCGUAGUUGACUCUGAGUGAUCUCAUGAUGACAGGAACCUCUGAGCCAGCCCAGGUGCCCCUCCUUUGCAUCAGAGAUGGAUUCACAUCCCCAGCUCUCGGAAAGAUAAGUGCAGGGCAACGACCCAGAGAGGGGUGGGGAGUCGGUCCAAGCAUGUGCAUCGCAUGGAGGGAUUUUUGAAAUUAAUAUGAUUCAAUGGGUAUCCUAUAGCAGGUUAUUUGGACACAUCAAAGGAAGGGCUUACUUUGUAUCAUUGGAUUCACAUGUGCAGGGCAGAGCAGUUCCAGUCUGUGUCACGUCCUUUGUCUUGUCCGUGUUUUGU
Molecule: long non-coding RNA, 842 nt
Organism: Neopelma chrysocephalum (saffron-crested tyrant-manakin)
Lineage: Eukaryota; Metazoa; Chordata; Aves; Passeriformes; Pipridae
Exons: 3
Source: RefSeq, a predicted model, not a curated record